AGCGAACGCUGGCGGCAGGCCUAACACAUGCAAGUCGAACGCCCCUUCGGGGGAGUGGCGGGCGGGUGAGUAACGCGUGGGAAUGUGCCCUUUGGUACGGAACAACUGAGGGAAACUUCAGCUAAUACCGUAUGUGCCCUACGGGGGAAAGAUUUAUCGCCAUUGGAGGAGCCCGCGUUGGAUUAGGUAGUUGGUGGGGUAAUGGCCCACCAAGCCGACGAUCCAUAGCUGGUCUGAGAGGAUGAUCAGCCACACUGGGACUGAGACACGGCCCAGACUCCUACGGGAGGCAGCAGUGGGGAAUCUUGCGCAAUGGGCGAAAGCCUGACGCAGCCAUGCCGCGUGAAUGAUGAAGGUCUUAGGAUUGUAAAAUUCUUUCACCGGAGAAGAUAAUGACGGUACCCGGAGAAGAAGCCCCGGCUAACUUCGUG
RNAcentral lists this ribosomal RNA (431 nucleotides) under uncultured bacterium. Its description in RNAcentral is "partial 16S ribosomal RNA". It matches the Rfam family "Bacterial small subunit ribosomal RNA", at positions 29 to 507 of the family's 1533-position model. The record is from RNAcentral.